ACGAUACUAUACUUUGGUUAUACAUUGAAUACACUUAUUAACACAACAGUAUGACCUAAAUUCUUUCACAUGUUUUGACUUCAUGAUGGCAAUAGCGUGAGGACAAGGAAUCUCCCACAGAUGCACGAUCCACUUUCGAGGUCGACGAUGUAUCUUCUUCCAGAAUCAUAAACUGAGUAGAUAUAGGUUGAAGAAGCCUUGACCUGAAUAAAAAAAGAUUUAGUUUUUUUUGUAACUAGAUGCUUUCGACAUCCAUUUACAAUCCUUAUUAUAACAUCGGAGGACACAGCUGAAAUAGACAAUCAUAAUAUGAUUAGUAGUAAUAACAAUUUAUGAUUUUUUUUUCAUUUUGGGUCUUACAAAUCAGUUAUACAGAGAAAAAAAUUCAUAUACAACAUAAGAUAUAAAAUAUACAUUACAACUCAAUAAAGUAUAUAUAUUUCAGCCCGUCAAUCAAUUUGUGAAUGCAAACAACGCACUACCAAAAUGUUAUUCUACACAUAUACAAAACAUAGUAAAUGUAUAUGUGAAUAAUAGAAGACAUUGCUAUGUAUAUAACAUAAACUUGUUUCCCUGCAAUUUAUAAAUUUAGGACAUCAAUUAAUCCAAUUCGAAAAAAACAGACAAUUUCAUGUGCUCAACAUGAAAACAAUCUUUGCAAAAUGAAAUUUAACGUCAUUUUAAUAUUCACGCAAAUUUAAGUAAAUAAAUUUCAUAACAGAACUAAAAUACCUCUUUUUGCCUGAAAAAUUAUUUCUGUUAAAAACAAUACCUCUUUUUGUCUGAAAAAAUUGACGAAAUCAACCUAAAAAAACGUCAUUGAUCCCAUGACAAUAAUACUUAAAAGAAUAGAAAAAAAAUAAUACCUCUUUUUGUUUCGAUUCUCCAUUGACUAGAGUACCUCAAAAGAAUAACAAUAUUCAUCAUCUUGAAUUUCAAUUAAUUUAUUUUCUUCAAAACGAUCGACAAAUAGGUGUUUGAUUUUCU
This 987-nucleotide long non-coding RNA is filed under the name Capsicum annuum. RNAcentral's name for it is "long non-coding RNA (CANN_LNC009394)". Lineage: Eukaryota; Viridiplantae; Streptophyta; Magnoliopsida; Solanales; Solanaceae. The record is from RNAcentral.